UUAUUAUGAGAGUUUGAUCCUGGCUCAGGACGAACGCUGGCGGCGUGCCUAAUACAUGCAAGUCGAACGCUUCUUUCCUCCCGGAGCUUGCUCCACCGGAAAAAGAGGAGUGGCGAACGGGUGAGUAACACGUG
RNAcentral lists this ribosomal RNA (134 nucleotides) under Enterococcus faecium. RNAcentral's name for it is "partial 16S ribosomal RNA". It matches the Rfam family "Bacterial small subunit ribosomal RNA", at positions 1 to 119 of the family's 1533-position model. The record is from RNAcentral. Lineage: Bacteria; Bacillati; Bacillota; Bacilli; Lactobacillales; Enterococcaceae.